UACGUAGGGUGCGAGCGUUGUCCGGAAUUAUUGGGCGUAAAGAGCUUGUAGGCGGUUUGUCGCGUCUGCUGUGAAAAUCCGGGGCUCAACCCCGGACUUGCAGUGGGUACGGGCAGACUAGAGUGUGGUAGGGGGAGACUGGAAUUCCUGGUGUAGCGGUGAAAUGCGCAGAUAUCAGGAGGAACACCGGUGGCGAAGGCGGGUCUCUGGGCCGAUACUGACGUGAGGAGCGAAAGCGUGGGGAGCGAACAGG
This 253-nucleotide ribosomal RNA is filed under the name uncultured bacterium. Its description in RNAcentral is "partial 16S ribosomal RNA". It matches the Rfam family "Bacterial small subunit ribosomal RNA", at positions 524 to 776 of the family's 1533-position model. The record is from RNAcentral.